AGGAUGUGUUCAACCCGCAGUUCCGAAGCUUCUCUAUUCCGUUUGUUUUGUUGCCGUUAAACGUGUGUUUUGUAGCCUAAGAGAGUUUACCCAGGAUCGGAUCCACUCUUUGCGUCCCUGGACUAGACCUCGCCGUUCUUCGUGGCCUUUCUCCGCUGGAGAUCUAUUGGCGGAUUGGAUUGUCUGACUGACCGACUGACUACCACCUUUUUGUAUACGGUUGUACCUCUCUCUGAACAAGUUACUCUGCAUCAAACCCUUGACUCAGUUCUUCUCUGAGUGCGUUAGAAGAAGGGAUCCAAUGAGGGAGUUGAGAGCAAAUGAAGAAACAAGGACGGAAGAAGAGGAAGCUAAGUAGACUAUGACAGGAUUACCACUCCGUCCUCCCAGCGAGCGCUAAGUAGACUAUGACAGGAUUACCACUCCGUCUUCCCAGCGAGCGCUAAGUAGACUAUGACAGGAUUUCCACUCCGUCUUCCCAGCGAGCGCUAAGUAGACUAUGACAGGAUUACCACUCCGUCUUCCCAGCGAGCGCUAAAUAGACUAUGACAGGAUUACCACUCCGUCCUCCCAGCGAGCGCUAAGUAGACUAUGACAGGAUUACCACUCCGCCUUCCUAAUCUGUGUAAGCGAACCUGUUCUGGGAUAUAUUUCACAUGGUACGUCUUUUGAUUGGGAUUAGCCUGGAUUAGUGGAUCCUCUUACCCCGGGAUGUGGCUCAGUACAGUUUAUCACUAACAGCCCAGGGCCUCAGCUCAGCAUCUCAGCCUCACCGCAGAGGAAAGCUGGGAAAUCCUCCUUUCUAUCACUCUGAUCAGAGUCUUUAAACUGACUUCCCAAAGAAAGCCAGAGAACACACUGGACUUCGUGGUAGUGGAAAUGCAUUCCAGGUGACUACCUCGUGAAGCUGGUUGAGAGAAUGCCAAGAGUGUGCAAAGCUGUCAUCAAAGGCAAAGGGUGGCUACUUUGAAGAAUCUCAAAUGUAAAAUAUAUUUUUAUUUGUUUAUUAACACUUUUUGGGGGGGUUUACUACAUGAUGUGUGUUAUUUCAUAGUUUUGACGUCUUCACUUAUUAUUCUGCAAUGUAGAAAAUAGUAAAAAAUAAAGAAAAACCCUGGAAUGAG
Oncorhynchus nerka (sockeye salmon) is the source of this 1124-nucleotide long non-coding RNA. RefSeq lists it as uncharacterized. The record is from RefSeq and is a predicted model, not a curated record. NCBI's taxonomy places the organism in Eukaryota, Metazoa, Chordata, Actinopteri, Salmoniformes, Salmonidae. The transcript has 2 exons.